Molecule: long non-coding RNA, 472 nt
Filed under: Fukomys damarensis (Damara mole-rat)
Lineage: Eukaryota; Metazoa; Chordata; Mammalia; Rodentia; Bathyergidae
Description: lncRNA (ENSFDAG00000030742.1)
Source: RNAcentral
CCCAUUUCUUGUGCUGCUUCGUCCUUACUCCAGCGUCAUGAGGCAGGAGCAGACUUACCUUCCUGGGGAGGAAGUGGAAACACAGAAACCUUGAAUGCAGGACUCAAGCCUGGAUGAAAAGCCUGGCCCCUCCACUCUGCUGCUAGAUGCAUGGGAUGCCUUUCCUCAGGACCUGCUGUGAGCUCUGGGCAGCACAGGACAGCCUCUUCCCAGGGGGAGACCCAUGAGGAACAUCUGGGGUCCACAUGCUGCCGGCUUCCAGGAGGGAUCCGAGUGCAAUAGCAGGUCCUUCCUGGGGAAAGCAGCCUGAAGAGACUUCCUCUUCACUGAGACUGGACUGGACGGGGAAGAGGAUCUGCAGGCCUGGAGGGAACCUGGUCCCAGCAGGAAGCGCAGCGUGCAGAGGCAGCACGGCAGGGCCCAGGUAAAGCACACAAGAGCCACAGUGGCGGGAGGCCGGGACACAGGGCCA